Molecule: long non-coding RNA, 536 nt
Filed under: Phasianus colchicus (ring-necked pheasant)
Lineage: Eukaryota; Metazoa; Chordata; Aves; Galliformes; Phasianidae
Description: lncRNA (ENSPCLG00000001114.1)
Source: RNAcentral
CAGCAAUACAAAAGAAGUAAAAAAAGCCAUGCUUCUAGCUAUGCAUGCACCACAGACCUAUCUACUUCUUUCAUCUGUGGAAUUCCAAUAUUGUUGGAAAUGCAAGAAACAUUCACAAAGUGAGUUUUCUGGUCUUCCUUAAAGAACUGUCUCUUCUCAACUCCGUACAACAUCCAGCACAAUGGGAUUUGAAGCAUGAGCAGGACCAAAGGAGAUAUAACAUCUGCCCAUCAGCCUUGUCUAUAUUCUUAUCGUGCCAUGGAUAAACGGGAAAUCUUGCAAGAUUUUUUUUUGCCUUAAAAAUUGCUGUGUACUAAAAAAAAAAUAUGGUGUGAUGUGUGUCUUAUGUACUGAUCUUGUUGUCAACUUUUAAAAGUAUUUGUGUCUAUCUGCUUGGACCCAUCUAAAUGCAUUUACUUAGCUGAAAAAUUGUACGGCCAAUUCUUAGUAAGAGUGAUGUUGGUAGAUACCAUUUAAAUAUUUCACAAUAUUGCAAUCGAAAUAAAUUGUGAGCCUUUUAUCCUUUUGAGUACUUC